This 465-nucleotide ribosomal RNA is filed under the name uncultured bacterium. Its description in RNAcentral is "bacterial SSU rRNA". It matches the Rfam family "Bacterial small subunit ribosomal RNA", at positions 338 to 795 of the family's 1533-position model. The record is from RNAcentral.
CCUACGGGACGCACCAGUGGGGAAUAUUGCACAAUGGGCGCAAGCCUGAUGCAGCCAUGCCGCGUGUAUGAAGAAGGCCUUCGGGUUGUAAAGUACUUUCAGCGGGGAGGAAGGUGUUGUGAUUAAUAACCGCAGCAAUUGACGUUACCCGCAGAAGAAGCACCGGCUAACUCCGUGCCAGCAGCCGCGGUAAUACGGAGGGUGCAAGCGUUAAUCGGAAUUACUGGGCGUAAAGCGCUCGCAGGCGGUCUGUCAAGUCGGAUGUGAAAUCCCCGGGCUCAACCUGGGAACUGCAUCCGAAACUGGCAGGCUAGAGUCUUGUAGAGGGGGGUAGAAUUCCAGGUGUAGCGGUGAAAUGCGUAGAGAUCUGGAGGAAUACCGGUGGCGAAGGCGGCCCCCUGGACAAAGACUGACGCUCAGGUGCGAAAGCGUGGGGAGCAAACAGGAUUAGAUACCCCUGUAGUC